Molecule: ribosomal RNA, 459 nt
Filed under: uncultured bacterium
Lineage: Bacteria
Description: partial 16S ribosomal RNA
Rfam family: Bacterial small subunit ribosomal RNA
Source: RNAcentral
CCUACGGGUGGCUGCAGUGAGGAAUAUUGGUCAAUGGUCGGGAGACUGAACCAGCCAAGCCGCGUGAGGGAUGAAGGUACAGAGUAUCGUAAACCUCUUUUGUCCGGGAGCAAAGGCGGGGACGUGUCCCCGGAUGAGUGUACCUGAAGAAAAAGCAUCGGCUAACUCCGUGCCAGCAGCCGCGGUAAUACGGAGGAUGCGAGCGUUAUCCGGAUUUAUUGGGUUUAAAGGGUGCGUAGGCGGAGUGUCAAGUCAGCGGUAAAAUUUCAGGGCUCAACCCCGUCGUGCCGUUGAAACUGAUAGCCUAGAGUGAGUGAGAGGUAGGCGGAAUGCGUGGUGUAGCGGUGAAAUGCAUAGAGAUCACGCAGAACGCCGAUUGCGAAGGCAGCUUACCGACGCUCAACUGACGCUGAGGCACGAAAGUGCGGGUAGCGAACAGGAUUAGAUACCCGAGUAGUC